UCUCUCAUCUAUACCUCCUUGUGCUAUGAUCUCAAUAGAUCUCACAAACUAAGCAGACUUCAGGGGUUUUAUUACUUGGAUAGGUAACCUGUAAGGAAAAUCUGUUUGGUGCAGGAA
This 117-nucleotide ribosomal RNA is filed under the name Gopherus agassizii (Agassiz's desert tortoise). Lineage: Eukaryota; Metazoa; Chordata; Testudines; Testudinidae. The record is from RNAcentral.